CGGGACGGGUGAGUAAUGUCUGGGAAACUGCCUGAUGGAGGGGGGUAACUACUGGAAACGGUAGCUAAUACCGCAUAACGUCGCAAGACCAAAGAGGGGGACCUUCGGGCCUCUUGCCAUCGGAUGUGCCCAGAUGGGAUUAGCUAGUAGGUGGGGUAACGGCUCACCUAGGCGACGAUCCCUAGCUGGUCUGAGAGGAUGCCAGCCACACUGGAACUGAGACACGGUCCAG
This 232-nucleotide ribosomal RNA is filed under the name uncultured bacterium. Its description in RNAcentral is "partial 16S ribosomal RNA". It matches the Rfam family "Bacterial small subunit ribosomal RNA", at positions 100 to 334 of the family's 1533-position model. The record is from RNAcentral.